This 1622-nucleotide long non-coding RNA is filed under the name Helianthus annuus (common sunflower). The record is from RNAcentral. Lineage: Eukaryota; Viridiplantae; Streptophyta; Magnoliopsida; Asterales; Asteraceae.
UUUCCUUUCAAAAAAAUAAAAUAAAGCAUCAUCUCUUCAAAAUGUCAUUUCUCUCUCUUCCAAGCUUGUUCACCACCAUCAUCUCUCCCCUUCUCCGGCCACAAGUCUGGCAGAGCUAACAAAAGGAGUGGGAACGGCGGACCGGCGAACCGGAGUGGGAACGAAGAGAGAGAGAGAGACAGAAGGAGAGAGAUGAACACAAGGGAGUGGGCCGGCGGACCGGCAUCGGUUUAGCGGCGGCGAUUGGGGGAUUUUGGGACGGUGGUGUUCCUCCGGUAUGGCUUGUGACACAAGAACCUGCUUUAGCAUGUUUAAGCAUAUCGGAUAUAUAUUCCUACAUACCAGCCCGUUGGUAAUGUUCAGGUGUCCCCAAAUUCUGGAAGGAGGACAUUUAUUCCAGAUGUUGAUGAUUUGAUUAAACCUCAGAUGCAUAUGACGUUUGAUUCGUUGGAAAAUGCUUUUCUUUUUUAGCAAAGAUAUGCUAAGGCGGGAGGUUUCACAGCUAGGAAGGGUACUCAAUACGAGCCUCGAAAGGGUGUAAUACAUAAUAAAUGGUUCGUAUGCUCAAAAGAGGGUACUAAACCCUUAAAGGCGAUUGACUCGACUCAGGAAGCUGGUAGUUCUAAUGUUAACUCGAAGUCUAAGAUUACUCGCAGGGUUCCUUCUAUAAGGACCGGAUGUGAAGCGUGCAUUCGGGUUAAGUUAAUAACCCCGGAUAAUCUUUACGUGGUUUACUACUUCGAGGAGUCGCAUAAUCACUCAUUUGUUGUUGAAGAUGACAGGUACUUGCUUCCUGAAAACAAAUCUAUGAAUUACGUACAGGAAGAAGCCGUGAAUGCUUUGAGUGCCAUAAACGUUGGUCCAGUUAGAGCGUUUAACAUUAUGAGGACUCUUUAUGGAGGUUUCGAUAAGGUAUGCGCAACUAAAGUUGACUUCAAGAACUUCAAGAGAGACUUAAAUAGGUAUAUAGCUGAGUACGAUGCUGACAUGGUUAUCAAACGCCUAAGAAGGAAGAAGGAAUUUAUGCCCAAUUUCUCUAUGGAAUACCUUACAACUGCUGAGGGCGUCUUACGUGCGUUGUUCUGGGCCGAUGGUGAUACAAAGAGAAAUUUUAAUAUUUUUGGGGAUGUUGUGUCGUUCGAUGCUACUUAUCGUCGUAACAAGUACAAUAUGAUGUUUGUACCUUUUACCGGCGUUGACAAUCACUAUCGUAAUGUUACCUUGGGUGCUGCUAUUAUAGGGGAUGAAACUGCCGAAACAUAUAGCUGGUUGCUCAACGCAUUUCGGCAGGCGUUUGGGCGCGCACCACCUGUGAUUGUAACUGAUCAAGACCCAGCGAUGAGGAAAGCUAUUCAAGAUACUUGGCCUGAAAGUAGGCACAGGCUUUGCAUGUGGCAUAUAAUGGAGAAACUCACUACCAGGGUUUAUUAAAUACCAAAAUUAUGGUUUACGACGUUAUUUGUUUUAAUGGAAUUUUUUUUUGUUUUUUUUGUACUUUUUUAUAUAUGAAUAUGUCGGUUUUUGUUUAUUGAUGUUGUUUUACUUUUAUAUAAUGUUUUAUCAGGUUGGCGCCAACCUAUGCAAUAGCACUGAUUUUAAGAAGAGGUUGUGUGAUAUUGUUU